This is a long non-coding RNA of Lagenorhynchus albirostris (white-beaked dolphin), 710 nucleotides long. RefSeq lists it as uncharacterized. The record is from RefSeq and is a predicted model, not a curated record. The transcript is spliced from 2 exons. Lineage: Eukaryota; Metazoa; Chordata; Mammalia; Artiodactyla; Delphinidae.
UCUGACUCAGGCUCAGCCCGUCACGUGGACAUUGGCUGCAGGAAGGUGCGUCCUCCCCGCUCCCACCCUGAGCUCAGCCACGCUUCCUCUGCCCUGGGCCACGCCCCCUCCUUUUUCUCCGGAGGAGGAGCCGCUCCGGCAAAGAACCCGUGGCAGCCCAGCCCUGGAACAAAAUACCAACUGCAGAGUAGGGCUCUUCGGAGACCAGGUCACCAGAAAGCCCCUGGACAGAGGACCAGAGAUAAUGAUCCCUCGUGGCCGUCACCGAUUGAGGACCUACUAUGUGUCAGAGACUUGUUUUGUUUUCAGAUGAGUCAAGAUGAUCAAUUACAGGAAUGCUCCCAGGAGCCUUUGAAUUAUGCAGCGUUAAUUUGUCUUUAAGCAGAAUGCCCCCAGACUGCAGGACUUUGAGUUGAUUUUAGGAUGUACAAAAGAAAACAUAUAUCAAGAAGCAUAAUAAACUGUGAACUUGCUGCUCAAUUUAGGAAUUAGAACAUUACUGAUAAUGUGUCCUUCUCUGUCCCAUCCCCUGAGUCCCCACCAGAGGAAACCACUAUUCUAAAUUUUGUAUUCAGGGAAUUCUCUGGCAGUCCAGUGGUUAGGACUGUGCGUUUCCGCUGCUGGGGCCCUGGGUCUGAUCCCUGAUCAGGAAACUAAUUCCCACAAGCUGCAGCGUGGCCAAUAAAUAAAUAAAUAAAUUUUGUGUUCAA